AGAGUUUGAUCAUGGCUCAGAACGAACGCUGGCGGCAGGCCUAACACAUGCAAGUCGAACGAGACCUUCGGGUUUAGUGGCGCACGGGUGAGUAACGCGUGGGAAUCUGCCCUGUGGUACGGAAUAACAUCGGGAAACUGGUGCUAAUACCGUAUAUCCCCUGAGGGGGAAAGAUUUAUCGCCAUAGGAGGAGCCCGCGUAGGAUUAGCUAGUUGGUGGGGUAACGGCCUACCAAGGCGACGAUCCUUAGCUGGUCUGAGAGGAUGACCAGCCACACUGGGACUGAGAUACGGCCCAGACUCCUACGGGAGGCAGCAGUGGGGAAUAUUGGACAAUGGGGGAAACCCUGAUCCAGCCAUGCCGCGUGUGUGAUGAAGGCCUUCGGGUUGUAAAGCACUUUCGCACGUGACGAUGAUGACGGUAACGUGAGAAGAAGCCCCGGCUAACUUCGUGCCAGCAGCCGCGGUAAUACGAAGGGGGCAAGCGUUGUUCGGAAUUACUGGGCGUAAAGGGCGCGUAGGCGGUGCUCUAAGUCAGGCGUGAAAGCCCUGGGCUCAACCCGGGAACUGCGCUUGAUACUGGGGCGCUUGAAUCCAGGAGAGGUUGGUGGAAUUCCCAGUGUAGAGGUGAAAUUCGUAGAGAUUGGGAAGAACACCGGUGGCGAAGGCGGCCAACUGGACUGGUAUUGACGCUGAGGCGCGAAAGCGUGGGGAGCAAACAGGAUUAGAUACCCUAGUAGUCC
RNAcentral lists this ribosomal RNA (742 nucleotides) under uncultured bacterium. RNAcentral describes it as "bacterial SSU rRNA". It matches the Rfam family "Bacterial small subunit ribosomal RNA", at positions 8 to 796 of the family's 1533-position model. The record is from RNAcentral.